RNAcentral lists this ribosomal RNA (425 nucleotides) under uncultured bacterium. RNAcentral describes it as "partial 16S ribosomal RNA". It matches the Rfam family "Bacterial small subunit ribosomal RNA", at positions 354 to 796 of the family's 1533-position model. The record is from RNAcentral.
GUGGGGAAUAUUGGACAAUGGGCGAAAGCCUGAUCCAGCAAUGCCGCGUGCAGGAAGAAGGCCUUCGGGUUGUAAAGCUCUUUAGUCCACGAAUAUAAUGACUGUAGUGGAAGAAUAAGCCCCGGCUAACUUCGUGCCAGCAGCCGCGGUAAUACGAAGGGGGCGAGCGUUAUUCGGAAUCACUGGGCGUAAAGCGUGCGUAGGCUGUUUUGUAAGUCAGAAGUGAAAGCCCAGGGCUUAACCCUGGAAUUGCUUUUGAAACUACAAGACUCGAAUUCGGGAGAGGAUAGCGGAAUUGUCAGUGUAGCAGUGAAAUGCGUAGAUAUUGACAGGAACACCAGUGGCGCAAGCGGCUAUCUGGACCGAUAUUGACGCUGAGGCACGAAAGCGUGGGGAGCAAACAGGAUUAGAAACCCCGGUAGUCC